Molecule: long non-coding RNA, 1853 nt
Organism: Monodelphis domestica (gray short-tailed opossum)
Lineage: Eukaryota; Metazoa; Chordata; Mammalia; Didelphimorphia; Didelphidae
Source: RefSeq, a predicted model, not a curated record
CCUCCCUCCCUCCCUCCUUCCUUCUUUUCUUCCUUUCUUUUCUUCCUUCCUUCCUUCCUUCUUUCUUUUCUUCCUUCUUUUCUUCCUUCCUUCCUUCCUUCCUUCCUUCCUUCCUUCCUUCCUUCCUUCCUUCCUUCCUUCCUUCCUUCCUUCCUUCCUUCCUUCCUUCCUUCCUUCCUUCCUUCCUUCCUUCCUUUUCCUCACUCCUUUUUCUAUUACUGUCCCAUUUAGUUCAACUGACUACCCCAGUUUCAUAAGGAUUAAGAACCUAGAAGCACUAAUAUUAUGCAAGGUCCAGUGUGGAUAUGGAGAAUAUAGGGUCAUAAAAUCAAACAGCUAGAGCUGGAAGGAACUUCAGUGGUCAUCUAGCCCCAUUUUAUAGAUAAACUGAGGCCCAUAGAGGUUAAAUGACUCUGCCCAAGGUCAGACAGCAGGUAAGUAACACAAGUGUCAUUUGUACCCAGGUCUUCCUGACCUGACACCCAGUUGUAUUGACUCUGCCAAUGAAAACCCUGUGGGCUUCAUGCUCAAAAGACUUACAGUUCAGCUUGGAUGAUGAGAAACCUGUACAAAUCGAGAUAAUCCCGAAUUGAACAUUUUAAAAGAGCUCUGACCCACACAGAACAUAUUCCGAGUGCAGUGUCUCUCUGGCAGCCAGUGAUUGAUAAAUGCCUGCUGAAUUGACUUGAGUUGAAUUUUAAAAAGAGAUUCGGGGUUAGGUGGCCCUUGAGGUCCACUCCUAUUCUAAAAUCCCAUGUAGAAAAAGCUCAUCUCCGGGUCCUGAACUGUCCUGGAUUCGAGUUUUGAUCGGGAGGUGACUGUGGCCCCUUCUGAGGCCGCUCAGUCAUUAUUCAGGCGUGUCCAAUUCUUCAUGACGCCAUUUGGGGGUUCUCUUGGCAAAGAUACUCGAGUGGUUUGCCAUUCCCUUCUCCAGUCCAUUUUACAGAUGAGGAAAGCACGGCCAGCAGGGGGAAGUGACUUGCCCAGGGGUUACAUAGCUCCUGUCUGAGGUCAGAUUUGAACUCAGGAAGAUGAGACUCCUAUCCACUGUGGCGCUGUAGCUCCCCAUUCAGUUGUAGACCGUCCGCAAGGACGGCUACUCGGAGGAGGACGAGCACUGCGGAGUACCGCCUCACGCAUCAUUCGGGGACCAUUUCAAAACCUGCAGGUUAGUUUCUCAGCAUCCCAGAAGAGCCGAGCUAACGAGGGAGCUCGAAGAGGAGAAUGUGAGAACAUAAAUAUCCCACGAAGGCUGGAGGUGAUCUCGGAAUAGAGACUUUUGAACACAGAACAGAGACUGUGAGGGCAUAAAACAAGGAUUAUUAGGUCCUAGAAUGUAGUAUGUUGGGGGAGCCCAAGAAGUACAGAAGUAAUGGCGGGACCCGGGCCAGCCUGGGCUCCCGAGGCUUGAACGGAAACCGUGGAAUGGGAACUAGUUAUCCUAGCAGCGGCCAGGGACAGCGGACUAACUGCUCCACGACGUCGGGGAGAGUACCUUCCCGGGGGAACUGCCGCCGCCGCCGCCGGCGCUGCCGCCGCAACUCGGGCUGUGUCAUCUGCAUGAUGGAUUUCGUGUAUGGGGAUGCCAUAAGCUGCUUGCCGUGCCUCCACGCGUACCACGUCAACUGCAUCGAUGACUGGCUCUCCUAUUCCCUGUCCUGUCCCUGCUGCAUGGAGCCAGUGGAUCCGUCCUUGCUGUAUCCCUGUGUCACCUGUUAAAUGAGGAACUUGGCAGCCAACAGCUCUGCCCCAGCAUGCUCAGGGCCAAAGAAUACCAGGCCUUAAAACAACUUGUAUGCAGUCAGGCUCCCUUCCCGUCAGCCGACAAACACAAAUAAACAGCAUUUCACAAA